GACGAACGCUGGCGGCGUGCUUAACACAUGCAAGUCGAACGAUGAACCGGAGCUUGCUCUGGGGAUUAGUGGCGAACGGGUGAGUAACACGUGGGCAACCUGCCCCAGACACCGGGAUAACCAUUCGAAAGGAUGGCUAAUACCGGAUACGACCACUUCGGGCAUCCGAUGGUGGUGGAAAGGAUUCUGGUCUGGGAUGGGCCCGCGGCCUAUCAGCUUGUUGGUGGGGUAAUGGCCUACCAAGGCGACGACGGGUAGCCGGCCUGAGAGGGCGACCGGCCACACUGGGACUGAGACACGGCCCAGACUCCUACGGGAGGCAGCAGUGGGGAAUAUUGCGCAAUGGGCGAAAGCCUGACGCAGCGACGCCGCGUGAGGGACGAAGGUCUUCGGAUUGUAAACCUCUUUCAGCAGGGAUGAAGCGAAAGUGACAGUACCUGCAGAAGAAGCACCGGCUAACUACGUGCCAGCAGCCGCGGUAAU
RNAcentral lists this ribosomal RNA (483 nucleotides) under uncultured bacterium. RNAcentral describes it as "bacterial SSU rRNA". It matches the Rfam family "Bacterial small subunit ribosomal RNA", at positions 28 to 524 of the family's 1533-position model. The record is from RNAcentral.